RNAcentral lists this ribosomal RNA (587 nucleotides) under uncultured bacterium. RNAcentral describes it as "partial 16S ribosomal RNA". It matches the Rfam family "Bacterial small subunit ribosomal RNA", at positions 355 to 1375 of the family's 1533-position model. The record is from RNAcentral.
UGGGGAAUUUUGGACAAUGGGCGAAAGCCUGAUCCAGCAAUGCCGCGUGUGUGAAGAAGGCCUUCGGGUCGUAAAGCACUUUUGUCCGGAAAGAAAUCCUUGGCUCUAAUACAGUCGGGGGAUGACGGUACCGGAAGAAUAAGCACCGGCUAACUACGUGCCAGCAGCCGCGGUAAUACGUAGGGUGCAAGCGUUAAUCGGAAUUACUGGGCGUAAAGCGUGCGCAGGCGGUUUGCUAAGACCGAUGUGAAAUCCCCGGGCUCAACCUGGGAACUGCAUUGGUGACUGGCAGGCUAGAGUAUGGCAGAGGGGGGUAGAAUUCCACGUGUAGCAGUGAAAUGCGUAGAGAUGUGGAGGAAUACCGAUGGCGAAGGCAGCCCCCUGGGCCAAUACUGACGCUCAUGCACGAAAAGCGUGGGGAGCAAAACAGGAUUAGAUACCCUGGUAGUCCACGCCCUAAACGAUGUCAACUAGUUGUUGGGGAUUCAUUUCCUUAGUAACGUAGCUAACGCGUGAAGUUGACCGCCUGGGGAGUACGGUCGCAAGAUUAAAACUCAAAUGAAUUGACGGGGUCAUAGCUGUUUCCU